CAUCCAGGUCACGUGUGCUAAUUCACUUCCGCUGUCUUUCGAAGCUCCAUGUUUGACGGGAGUAGACCACGGGCACGGUGGCUCUGUUGGAAAAGUUACCCAUGGCAAUGUCUGGAAUGGUACUCUGGGUUUCUGGAAAAUGGCACAUUGGGCCCUCACUUGGCUCUGUGGUUGCCAACGUAGGCACCUGUGAGGACCUCAAUGUGCACACACAGAUCAGAAGCAAUGACAUCAGCAGGGGAUAAGCUAAAGGCACACCCCUGCUCUGGAGCAGAGCAGUGUCAUGAUGCAUAUUGCAUCAUGUACCCAAUGGCACGGAGGUGGCGUGGGAGGGCAUAUCCUAGCUGUGUUGCAUAGUCAGUGACUGAAUGUCCUUUGCCAUUAGGGAACCAACGAUGUGAGGUAAAGGCAACAUAUCCUCUACUUUGCAGGAAAAUGUCAGUUGCAUGAUGGACCCAAUGGCAUGAGCCGAAGGUGACGUGGGAGGGCAUGUCCAAGCGGCGUUCCAGAGUCAGUGAGGCCGUUGCCAUUAUGGGUAACAAGCCUGUCGAGGAGACGGGAGACUUUACGACGAGAAAUUGACAGUGGCAUUCAACAUACAAUACAGGUUUCCGCCAUGACUGCAAGUCCAUGUUGUGAGGAUUCUUUUCAAGCUCCUUUUCUUUUCGAAAUGACACUGAAUGCUCCUGUAGCUGAAAUGUCUGUCUGACCUCUGCAAUGACUGAAUAAAAAGACAAAGAAAAAAAGACAAA
Molecule: long non-coding RNA, 752 nt
Organism: Engraulis encrasicolus (European anchovy)
Lineage: Eukaryota; Metazoa; Chordata; Actinopteri; Clupeiformes; Engraulidae
Exons: 9
Source: RefSeq, a predicted model, not a curated record